RNAcentral lists this ribosomal RNA (478 nucleotides) under uncultured bacterium. Its description in RNAcentral is "partial 16S ribosomal RNA". It matches the Rfam family "Bacterial small subunit ribosomal RNA", at positions 28 to 523 of the family's 1533-position model. The record is from RNAcentral.
GACGAACGCUGGCGGCGUGCUUAACACAUGCAAGUCGAACGGUAAGGCCCUUCGGGGUACACGAGUGGCGAACGGGUGAGUAACACGUGGGUGAUCUGCCCUGCACUUCGGGAUAAGCCUGGGAAACUGGGUCUAAUACCGGAUAGGACCACUGCCUGCAUGGGUGGUGGUGGAAAGCUUUUGCGGUGUGGGAUGGGCCCGCGGCCUAUCAGCUUGUUGGUGGGGUGAUGGCCUACCAAGGCGACGACGGGUAGCCGGCCUGAGAGGGUGACCGGCCACAGUGGGACUGGGAUACGGCCCAGACUCCUACGGGAGGCAGCAGUGGGGAAUAUUGCACAAUGGGCGCAAGCCUGAUGCAGCGACGCCGCGUGAGGGAUGACGGCCUUCGGGUUGUAAACCUCUUUCAGCACCGACGAAGCGCAAGUGACGGUGGGUGCAGAAGAAGGACCGGCCAACUACGUGCCAGCCGCCGCAGUAA